Molecule: ribosomal RNA, 305 nt
Filed under: uncultured bacterium
Lineage: Bacteria
Description: bacterial SSU rRNA
Rfam family: Bacterial small subunit ribosomal RNA
Source: RNAcentral
UGCCUACGGGGGGCAGCAGUGGGGGAUAUUGCACAAUGGGGGAAACCCUGAUGCAGCGACGCCGCGUGGGUGAAGAAGCGCCUCGGCGCGUAAAGCCCUGUCAGCAGGGAAGAAAAUGACGGUACCUGACUAAGAAGCCCCGGCUAACUACGUGCCAGCAGCCGCGGUAAUACGUAGGGGGCAAGCGUUAUCCGGAUUUACUGGGUGUAAAGGGAGCGUAGGCGGCAAGGUAAGCCAGAAGUGAAAGCCCGCGGCUCAACUGCGGGACUGCUUUUGGAACUAUCUAGCUAGAUUGCAGGAGAGGG